AAUAUAUUUUCUAUAUUUCCUAUAUUUUUUUCUAUAUUUUAAUAUAUUUUUAGGUUUUUAUUUAUUUAUUUCAUAUUUCAUUCAUUUCUUUCCUUAUUCAAUAGAAUUAACAUAAUCAUUAUAAUUUGGUGAAAGGUGGGGAGCUUUUUCCAGCUUUCCCUGCCGUGGGAUAUUUGAUCUGUGAGAUCUGACCCCUGUCAGAGCCGUGUUUACGCUCUCCCUCUCCAAUUCCCAUCCCUUUCCAAGGAAUCCAUCCCCUCAGACACAUUCCAGCGAAGCCAAAGGGCCCUGGAGCCCCACGCCAAAGAACUCGUCAGGGAUAUGAUCCCAAGCACGUUCCACAUCCCAAAUUUCCUCCCGGAAUUCCUCCAGACCUGUCAGUCAGUGCUGCCCUUUCCCCCCCUGCCCUCCAUCCCGUGGAAAUCUGGAAUUCCCUCGAGGGUCAGCCUUGCUCCAGGAAUUCUGGGUGGAUCUGGGAGGGGGAAAAUCAGGAUUUUCACUUGUACAAAGCCAAUUUUCCCACUAUCAAAACCAAGAAAAGCAGGGGAGGAAUCACCAGCAUCUCUGAGCAGGGACAACCUCCUGUCACCGAAGUUUUAUUUCAGGCAUUCCUCCCUAUCCAAGCUGCUUUCCCAUGGAUCAGAGGUUGUCGGGGUUGGCUGCCAGGAGAAGCCACGCUGCUCGCGGGGCCAGCCCGGCCUUUGUCCUUGCCGUCGGAAAAGCAGAAUUCGGUCAAGAUCGUUGGGGAGAAGGAAGGUUCCAGCAGCCCUGCGGCUCCUCUGGGGUGUUUAUUCCAUAUUUCUCACCUUAUAUGGAUCCUUCCAGCAUGUUCCAGGCUGGGAAAGGGAAAGGGGGGGGAGAGAGGGGCACAGGGAGGGAUCCACAGUGCGGGGACGGAGUGUACAGCUGGGGUGGAAAAGGCAUUUCCUCCGGUUGUUUGUGCACUGGGAGUGUUGGGAACAGAGCCCAGAUGGGAGGGAAAAAAAAAAAGAUUUUGGGACUGGAGUGGCUCCUGGAAAGCAGCUGCUUGUGCCACAACGUGGGAAAUGAAUUUAGAGGCUAAGAGGAAACACAGAGCCUAGUAGAAAGCUCACAUACAAAAACCUAAAAAUGAGAAAUACUGACUUAGAAAUAGCAUGAAAUAAAGCUAAGAAUUAAAGUUAUUUUGUUGUCAAGGAAAAAAAAAUUAAACUAAAAGCAAGUUUCAAAAAAUAAAAGUAAAUACUUUAAAAAACAGAAGUAUAAAAAUACAUUAUAAUAUUUAAAAAUAGAAUUAUAAAAAUACAUGAUAAUAAACCCCACAAAGAGUAAUUUCAAAUGAUUAGCUUUAAAGCAUUUACAACCUAGUGUAACUGCAACUAAUAAACCAAAAAGCGCUUAUAAUAUAUUAUAAUUAAAAAAUAGUUAACUUCUAA
Molecule: long non-coding RNA, 1415 nt
Organism: Onychostruthus taczanowskii (white-rumped snowfinch)
Lineage: Eukaryota; Metazoa; Chordata; Aves; Passeriformes; Passeridae
Exons: 3
Source: RefSeq, a predicted model, not a curated record